GCACAUAUUUCAAUCUACGAAACGUACUCAGCUAGUGAGUUUGCAAGGCAUCUCUACUUGCAACAAAUUUUCAGGAUGGCACCGGUUUCGAGAUAUGCGCCGUAAAACUCGCGGUAAAAUGCACUCUUCCAUUAUUUCUUAUUUUGUUUUAGAAAAGCAAACCCUUAUGCACUUCAGCAUACAAGUAACUGGAACGCCACUGCAUUUCGUCUAGAAUCUUGAAAAUAGUACCUCGAAACAUGUAUAGUCUUGGCAAUUCUCUAUACAUCGACACGCUUAGCGAACUUACUGGCUACAAUCAGUAAAUUGAACCGUGCCGUAAAGUAGUUUAUUCAACAGUAAAUUAGGGCAGUUAUGGUAAUUCUUCAGUUUAGCAUUUGCAUAUCGCGUGGAAGUAAUGGCCGCAUCUUCCGAUAAUUUACCUUAUGGCCUAGAAUUAUGCUACCAGCCAAAGAAUUUUCUUUUUCGUUUCAUGCAGCUAAAGAAACACCUGGUAUUAAAAGCUUAAGGUGCAAAUUUGUGACCUCUGUCGAUUUUUCUUGUAAGGGUGGUGAAGCGACAGUCUUCACUAAGUGGUACCUGUCUCUAAUAUAUUUUAGGAAAAGUAAUGUUACGUUGGAGGUUGCCAUGCAGGAACAAGGAAAGGCCGCCGAUAUAAAGAUCAAUCCUGGAGGACAACCACCUGAACACGUGUACCCAAAAUACGAAGUUUUGUAUGCUACACAACACUGCAUUAUUACCGGCAACGUGCCACAGCCAACGCUUAGAACAUACUGCACCUACUGGGUCAAGAAGAGCGAUGUGAAGAAUCGGCACUGGGCUUGUGACUUCGUAUUAAACCAUUACUGCCGAAGCCCAGAAAUUGUCAUUAAGGAUACAAACAGUUGUUGGCCUGAAAGCAAUGCAUAAAGAUAAAAAUUAACUACACCAUUACAAUCGACGAUGAUGUUCAAUACUAGCGAAAAGCCGAAAGCGCCUAGAUAACAAUUUGCUUUAUUAAAGAAUGGUAAGACGAA
Dermacentor andersoni is the source of this 1016-nucleotide long non-coding RNA. RefSeq lists it as uncharacterized. Lineage: Eukaryota; Metazoa; Arthropoda; Arachnida; Ixodida; Ixodidae. The record is from RefSeq and is a predicted model, not a curated record.